AGAAAAAAGAACAUAGAAUGUUAGCCUACAGAAAGGUCUUGAAUGACAGAAUUCUAGAAUGUAGAAUAUUAGAACUAGAAGAAGCCUGGGAGAUCACUUUGUUCAAACCCCUCAUCUAACUCAAGAAUAGACUGAGGCCAGGAGAGGGAAAGUUUGCCCAAGGGCACAUAGUUAAGUCACUGAUGGAAUUAGGCAGAUGAAGCUAUUUGGACUUAUUUCAAUUCAAUUAAGAAGCACUGCAGGUCUUUGGUCAGAGGAAUCUCAGAAUCUGAUGCAGAUGGAGGAGAGAAGUAUCUCAAAGACCUUCCAGAGCCAGCUCCAACUGACUGCUUUGCUCAUAGCAUCUGCUGUUGCUAGGUUGCUUUAUCUUGGCUGCUUGGACCUGCUCUACUCCUCACAGCCAGGGCUAAUUUUCUCUUGAAACCAUAGCUGGUUCUCUUCUCUGCUGCCAGGGAGCACACUGCCCAAGAUUCUCCUGACUCAAUUGUUUCCAGAGCUUUUAAAAGGCCUCCAGAUGCAUGGCCAAUCUUCAUUCAACCAAUGAUGUCCAACAGAGAAAACAUCUUCCUAUUUCUUUAUAACAAAGUGCAGCCAUAUCUCUGUACUUUAUUUAACUGCAUUCCCUUCCAAACAUUAACACAGGGUUAUGUCUAUUAUAUGGCCCUUCUGAAAUCAUUAACCAGGGGGGGUUGACAAAUUAAUCAGAGAUGCUCUGACUCUCCAUCUUCCCCAGGCUCUACGAUAAGAUGCUAUGAUCUUUAAUUCAGUAUCACAGCCUGAAAGAGAGAGAGAAAAAUUAAAAUUUUGAUCAUUAACUAGAAAUCUCUUGUCUCUUUCUUUAGGAUGGAAAGAAAUGAGGGAAGGGAUGCUCCAGAAGAGGGGAUAAGAGAUAGAUAGAUAGAUAGAUAGAUAGAUAGAUAGAUAGAUAGAUAGAUAAAUGGGUGAAUAGAUAGGUAAAUGGAUGGAUAGAUUGAUAGAUAGAUAAUGGAUGGAUGGAUAGAUAGAUAAAUAGAUAAUUAGAUAGAUAGAUGGAUAGAUAGAUGAUAGAUAGAUGGAUAGAUAGAUGGAUGGAUAGAUAGAUAGAUGAUAGAUGGAUAGAUAGAUAGGUGGAUAGAUAGAUGGAUAGAUAGAUGAUAGAUGGAUAGAUAGACAAAUAGAUAGAUAGAUAGAUAGAUAGAUAGAUAGAUAGAUAGAUAGAUGAUAGAUGGAUAGAUAGAUGGAUGGAUAGACAGAUAGAUGAUAGAUGGAUAGAUAGAUAGGUGGAUAGAUGGAUGGAUAGAUAGAUAGGUGGAUAGAUAGAUAGAUAGAUGGAUGGAUAGAAAGAUAGAUGAUAGAUGGAUAGAUAGAUAGGUGGAUAGAUGGAUGGAUAGAUAGAUGAUAGAUGGAUAGAUAGAUGGAUGGAUGGAUAGAUAGGUGGAUAG
RNAcentral lists this long non-coding RNA (1421 nucleotides) under Monodelphis domestica (gray short-tailed opossum). RNAcentral's name for it is "lncRNA (ENSMODG00000030159.2)". The record is from RNAcentral. Lineage: Eukaryota; Metazoa; Chordata; Mammalia; Didelphimorphia; Didelphidae.